Molecule: long non-coding RNA, 4467 nt
Organism: Brassica napus (rape)
Lineage: Eukaryota; Viridiplantae; Streptophyta; Magnoliopsida; Brassicales; Brassicaceae
Exons: 2
Source: RefSeq, a predicted model, not a curated record
UUCAUGAAUUUUUAGAUCAUCAAUAUCAAAUCCUUGUAGUAUGUUUCAGAAUUUAAAUAGCAAUGAAAGAAAACUAAUUUUAUAUUCCCUCUGUUUAUUAAAAAGUGUUAUUUUGACUCUUCACUUUAAUUUAUGCAUGGACAUUUGAUCCAGAUCCGAAGAUCUGAUACAAAACCAAUCCAAAAAAUUUCGGUUUGGAUAGGAACUGAACCGAUCUUUUUAUUCUAUUGAGUCUUGUUGUGGAAGACCUGCGGGUCUUGGACCGAUCCGACCCAAACCCGAGAUCCGAUGGGAUAUCCGGAAUACCCGACUUCAGGUAUCUAUUAGGUAUAUAUGGGUGUUUCAAUAUAUUUUUGGUAUUAUGGGUAUUUUUUUAAGUUUUGGAUUUGAGUUUUUGGGUAUAGUUUUAGGUUUCGGGUAAACUUUAGAUUUUCAAAAUAAUUCGGAUAAUCAAAUAAAAUUUUGGGUAUUUUCAUGUCUUCGGUCAGAUUUUAGAUAAAAUAUUAGAUAUUUUUCAAGUAUUUAAAUAUUUUCAAGUAUUUUUGUGUGUUUCGGAUAUUUUUUGGACUGGACCCGAAUCGAACCCGAUCUAGAACCAAACCAAACCCAAAAUAAAAAAUUCUAAUUACCCUAUUAGGUCUAACUAUCUAAGAUCAUAAUCGAUCCGGACCCGACAUGAUCCGAACCGAACCCGACUUAGCAAAUUUUAAUUAUCCUAAUAGAUCUUAAUAUCUAAGACUCGAAAGACCCGGAUCCGACGAGAUCCGAACCCGAGGACCCUAGUGGCCCUGCCUACUUUAAUUAAGAAAACUAGAUUUUGACCCGCGCUUAAAAGCGCGGGUUUGGUUUUGUUUUGCUUUUCUUAAUUAUGAAAUUUAGUGUUUAAAUCAUAUAAUCUUAAAGAUUAUUUCACUAAUGAAAAUUUAGUGUUUGAAUCAUAUAAUCUUGUAUAAAGUUUUUAUGUAGUGUAGUGUCUUACAUGUAACAUGUCUUGUAGUCGAUGGUAGUAUGUAAGGGAAAUGAAUAUUUCAUUAACGUAACAGUUAUAAUAGGUUGUGUUUUGGUUUUGGUUCAUGUAAUGUGUUUUGUUUGGGUAUGAUGGUUUAGCAAUCGGUUUUAGUGGUUAUAUAUAAAUAAUAAUGUAUACAGUUCGCAUGGUUAUAGUAAUAAUCGGGGGUUUAUUGGGUAAAAAAGGUUGUCAAUUAUUGUUAUAAUAUACAGGGUAAGUCCAAAAAAAUUUAAAAGUAAUAGGUCCAAACAACUUUUAUAGGUAGAUCUUUUCAAAAUUCUUCCCCGAGUAAAAUUCAUUUGUAUCUUUAAUAACUACAAUUAGUAAUAUCUAUAGAGAAAAAUUAACUAUAGUAAUCAAGGUUAGAACAUAAAUUUUGGAUAAAAGUUGCAUUGAAUUUCGAGAAUAACAUUUUUCUGUAAUAAGAAAAAAUGUCAAGGUGACAGUGACAGUUUUUAUAAGCAGGAGGAAGUAUGUAUCAUGUAUUAAGAUUAUAAUAUCAUAAUAAUUGAAUUAUCAUUAUUGCAUAUCAAUUUAUAAUUAUUGAGUAUCAUCUUCAUAUCUGAGCUGAUUAGGAAACUACAUUUAACUGUGGUCUUAGUAUAUGUAAUACACAAUUGUUUAUGAAAAUAACACAGAAAAUGAAAUGAUCAUUAUGUUCACAACAUUAUGGCAGACUUAUUCUAGCCUGGAAAGAAUAUCCGUCACAAUUUCAAAAUUUUUAAUACUUGAAAGAAAAAGAAGAGAAAAUCUGAUUCAUUUCAGUACAAUCAAUCAAUUAUUGCCGUAAGAUGCUGAGAUUGUCGACGUCGAACUUGACAAAUUUAUUAUAGAAACUAGGGUCGGCCCGCCCUACGGGCGGGAUGCAUAUUCGAAAAUAAUUGAAAUAGUUUGAAUAAAUAAUUAUUUUAAUUUUUAUUAGUUAAAAAUAUAAAUAGUAGUUAAAUUAUGUACUUUUUUAAAGUCUAAAUAAACUAUGAUAUUUUGAUAAUUAGUUAAGUAUUCUUUUUUUUUUGAAGUGGCAUUACAUCAGUUCUAGCCGAAAAUAAAGUAAGGACAAUUUUAAAGUUGAGGUUAGUCUUUGACAUUCAUAUUUUUAUGUAUAGAGAGCAAAGGUAUACAUGCAAGUCUUUGUUUUGAUUAUUUGGAUCCAUUGUUGCAUAACUAUGUUUUCUAUUUUUCUCAAUCGACUUAGCCAUUCUACUAAUCUGGUAUUUUGUUUUAAGUUAAAAAUUAUUUGUUUUUCUCAUUUUCAUCAAAUUAAAUAAAACAUGAUUUUUAUUGGUAAAUAUUUGUUCUAGAAAUAUAUUUAUAAAAUAAAAAAUAUUAUAUUUUAAAGUUAGUGUAAGGAAUAUAUAUUUAUGUUUAAAUGAAUCUGAUUUCUAAUCAUAUAAACUAAUUUUUAUCUAGGAUAAAUAUAGUUAUAUUGUUUUUGUAUAAAACCAAAUAAACCGAAAACCGAUAGUAUAUAAACCGAAACAAACCAAAUUAGAUAUGAAUCCAAUAUGGUAGUUAAUUUUUAUAAACCAAAAUACCAAAAAAAAAACUAAAAAAAAUGAACCGAAAUCAGACAGGAAUCGGAAUGAACAUGCCUAGAUAGAGGUAUUAGAAGGAAGCACUGUUUUAACAGCCCAAUCAGUAGAUAUAAAUAUUAAAUUAGUAAUAAUUAGAUUAAAUAAAGACCCAGAUAUGAAAAGAUGUGGAGAGGAAAAAGGUUUUUUUGUUUUUUUGUUAACAAAAGGGAAAGCAACGAAUCGCCUUUUUAUACUAUUAGUCCUUUGAACAAAAAAAAAAAUACUAUUAGUCCUUUCCUUCCCCCAUAUGCACUAUCCUAUCCUGUUGAAUUAUAUUAUUGUUUUGUUUGACGAUAGAAACACGGACAUGAAGAAAAAAAAUAUAACUGGACUUAUACAAAGAUUAUGGGUUUUCUUUGAGGCAGCCCAAUAAUGAAUUAAAAGACCCAUUAAUCUAUCACUUAGAAGUGAGGCCUAUUUACGGCCACAAAACCCUAGCUCCAUCAUAUCCCAAUGUAUAAAUAAGAAACACUUUCAGCUGAUUCUCGCUCUGUAAUUUACUUUUUUUUUUAUAUGUUUAUAAUCUUUUUUUCCCUUGAUUAGAUUCGCUUUUAAGAGUGGUUAUACUGUAGAAUUUUUUAUAGCUUCUUAGAUUGAGAGGCGAUAAAUUUUAGCAGGGGCGUUGAGUCGCUUUGCCUAUGUGAAUCAUGCGUAUCCAAUAAGCUCCUGCUAGAUUUUAUAUCUAUUCGUUCUUUUUUCUUUUUUUUUUUUGCAUGUUUCUAUAAGGAUCCAAUGAUGGCAUGAAAUCUUUGAGACCUGAUUUUUAUUGAUGAAACGCUGUAAGCAUUUUUACUCUGAGGAUCCUUAAUAUUUGUUUACACAUUUGUUUUCAUGUUAAUAAUCCUAAUUAGAAAAGGUGAUGAAUUUGAUCAAAAAAAAAAAAGCGAAGGUGAUGAAUAUGCACUGGGCUCUGAGUUGUUGAUUGACAUUCAACUUCUUUUUGAUGCAUAACGCAGCCUAGAAAGCUUAAUCUGAUUUUCAGUUGUUUCAUUAUAUAAUCGUCCGUUUUGCUUUCUUUUUGUGUGUUUCUUGGUUAAACAUAGUAACAACAAAAUUUAGAAGUAAUUUGUGCACAGCUGUAACUUCUCUGUCGUUUGCUAUUCAAUAAAUAUUUUUCCAUCUCCACGCUUAUGUAGCUUUCUCUGAAUUUUCUGCAUCUUAGAACUUCCAAUUACUCUCUCAUCUAGAACUAAAAUCUUAACUCACCCAUUUCAGCUUUCUACUUCCACACCCCUCACUCGAAAACAACUAAGAUUAUGUCUUUCUCUCUCUUUAACAACUAUUUUAUUCUUAACCUUUUUUUCUUUUUUUCCCCUUCAAGCUUUUACCAUCUCUGUUUUUGUAUAGAGAAAUAUAUCACUUUACAAAAUUUUAAAACAUUUUUUUCCUGAAAAAAAUCUAUCCCUAUACUGAUCUCCUAAGAAGAACCCGUACCUUCGAUGGCAUGACUUGCAGAGACGACGAUGUUUCUUCAAUUGAUCUCAGUUCCAUGUCGAUUGUGUUUAUUCACCGACUGUGUGAAAAUAGGAUGCAAUGAAUGUUAAUUUGGAGGUUAAUGAGAAUGAUUGAAUGCAUAUGAGAUCUGUAACGUUUCCGAUUUUGGAAAGCAAGUAAGAAGCCACACGAACCGGCACUGAAGGCGGUUUCCACCAGAGAUUUCCUGGGUUUCCAACCCUCGUAACCCAGCCGGAGAUCCAUUGUUAACCCUAGACGGCCGUUCUUCGAUAGUCUCUAAUCACCCACUUAACCAAUACUCUUUAGCCCAAACCUUGUAUUAGAAGCCCACAGCCUAUAUUUUUAAGUCUAAAGCAAUUCUUGGUAUGAAAGCCCAUCUAUAACAAUAUAACAUCAUCGAUGAAAGAACAAUUUGAUAUUUCAAACCGA